This 641-nucleotide long non-coding RNA is filed under the name Oryzias sinensis (Chinese medaka). RNAcentral's name for it is "lncRNA (ENSOSIG00000019346.1)". The record is from RNAcentral. Lineage: Eukaryota; Metazoa; Chordata; Actinopteri; Beloniformes; Adrianichthyidae.
GUCCAAUCAGCGCUCAGAUGCGAACUGCUCGACGCUCAUUGGUUCGUUAAGGAGGAAGAUGCUAAGUCCGCCGUGAACAGACCCUCCGAAUGAUCCCGGAGAUUUGAUCAAUUACCCGAAAAUCCGGACGUUUCCGCGCAUAUUAUGACGUAUGUGCUGGAUUUUUAAUUGAACUGAUUGAUUUUUUUUGCUUUUGUUUCUGUGCUGUCGGAUCUUCUGACGGUGCUGCUGUGUAGACGAUGCACGAGCGAUGUCUGAUGUGGAGGCCGCGUACGCAGACUUCAUCGCCUCGGGCAGGACGGGCCGCAGGAACGCGCUGCAUGACAUCCUGCAGAGUCCCACCGACGCAGAGGGAGGCCAGCUGCCCCUCAGCCUGUCCCUGUCCCGCCUGCACAUCAAUGCAGGAGGAGCAGAUGCAGACAGUAUGGAGGACGAGCAGAGCUCCUCGUUUUCGGCCCAGAGGGAGGCAGAGCAGAGGAACAGCUAACCUGCCCCGCCCUUUGCCCGGCGGAGCGGCAGGACGGCUGGCAGGAAGUGCCGCGGUGAAUUCCUGCGUCCGAACCUCGCAGCUGAAGGAUAGAGCCGACACUGCUCAUACGCCUUUGAGCACAACCAUCUGGUCUUCCAGGUCUCUAGAAUAG